CGAAUGGGGGAACCCACUAUCUUUAGUCGGAUAGUAUCCUUACGUGAAUACAUAGCGUAAGGAAGGCAGACCCAGGGAACUGAAACAUCUAAGUACCUGGAGGAAGAGAAAGAAAAAUCGAUUUCCUGAGUAGCGGCGAGCGAAACGGAAAGAGCCCAAACCAAGAAGCUUGCUUCUUGGGGUUGUAGGACACUCUAUACGGAGUUACAAAAGAAAGUGGUAAACGAAGUGGUCUGGAAAGGCCCGCCAAAGAAG
Molecule: ribosomal RNA, 255 nt
Filed under: Paenilisteria rustica
Lineage: Bacteria; Bacillati; Bacillota; Bacilli; Caryophanales; Listeriaceae
Description: partial 23S ribosomal RNA
Rfam family: Bacterial large subunit ribosomal RNA
Source: RNAcentral